UGUUACUUCAAGCCAACACACCUGCAAUAACUCUGCUGCACUAUCCUUCCCGGUAGCCAUCCUCCAAUAGCGAGGGUCAUUUCCCCAUACGAUGUUAAGCGCCGUUGGUUUAAACACCCACGUGAGUGUUUCCUGUUUCUUUUCCACAUCUUUUGAAAUUGCCUCAUGAUGUGGUUUAUUAGUCGACAUCUUGAGAGGAGAAAAACUAAUAAGUAGCCGUGAAGGAAUGAAGUGAUAUAGAUCUCACUAAGCUUUAGAAAAUGUUGACAAGAAGGAAGGAACUGAACCAAAAGUGCAAGAAAUGAGAAUUUAUAAAAUAAAGAAGCGAA
RNAcentral lists this unclassified non-coding RNA (329 nucleotides) under Hevea brasiliensis (rubber tree). The record is from RNAcentral. Lineage: Eukaryota; Viridiplantae; Streptophyta; Magnoliopsida; Malpighiales; Euphorbiaceae.